AUGGAACCGCCGCCGCCGCGUCGCCGCGUCUCGCCGCCGGCGAUCCCGGACGAGCUCUUCGAAGAGAUCCUCCUCCGCCUCCCACCCGACGACCCCGCCUGCCUCCUCCGCGCCUCCCUCGUCUGCAAGGCCUGGAGCCACACCGUCUCCAGCCCCAGAUUCCGCCGCCGCCUCCAUGAGCUCCACCGCACACCCCCCGUGCUCGGCGUCCUCCACAACUGGGCGGACGAGCGCAUCCCCCGAUUCAUCCACACCACCGCAUCGUCCUUCUCCCUCGCCGCCCCGGUCUGGCGCACCUGGCGAGCCCUCGACUGCCGCCACAGACGCGCCCUCUUCUUCCCCCAGGAAUUCGGUGGUCCGGCAAUGCUCCUGUGGGAUUCAAUCACGGGCGCCCAGCAGCGCAUACCGGUGCCCGCGGCGUUCAAGAGCGACGAUUUCCCAACGGCUGCCGUGUUCUGCGCAGCCGACGGGUGCGACCACGGUGACUGCUUCGGUGGUCCUUUCCGCGUGGUCUUCUUCUUCACCGUCGAGGUAGACGAGGGGACGCACGCCACGUCGGCGUGCAUAUACUUGUCCGAGACUGGCGCCUGGGGCGAGCUGACCUCAGCUCACUCCAACCGCGAGUUCUUGGAAUUCAGAGAAAGCUACAGCGUGCUCGUUGACAGAUCUGCGCUCUACUUCAUGUUCGACGGCAACGCGGAUACUGCGUCGGUUGUGCAAUUUGACUUGGCAAGCCAUGACCUGACUGUGUUCGGCCUACCGGACACAUACCGACUUUGCAUAUAG
RNAcentral lists this ribosomal RNA (786 nucleotides) under Triticum aestivum (bread wheat). RNAcentral describes it as "partial small subunit ribosomal RNA". The record is from RNAcentral. Lineage: Eukaryota; Viridiplantae; Streptophyta; Magnoliopsida; Poales; Poaceae.